Thunnus maccoyii (southern bluefin tuna) is the source of this 5947-nucleotide long non-coding RNA. RefSeq lists it as uncharacterized. The record is from RefSeq and is a predicted model, not a curated record. The transcript has 2 exons. NCBI's taxonomy places the organism in Eukaryota, Metazoa, Chordata, Actinopteri, Scombriformes, Scombridae.
AUUGUCAGACAUAGAGAGAUAUGAUGACUAUCUGACUUAAAACAUGUAACUUCUUGCUAUUCUCACCUCUGUACAGAACAUCUUCAACAUACAAAGCAUUGUAACAAAACCACCUCAGUAUGUUUGUCCAUUGAAACACUGCACAUUUAGCUCUUCCUGCCUGCUAUUGACUCAAACAGCCUCUGCUCGUUUAUUAGCAGCUGUGUGGCCAAUUAUCUCCCUGCCCCCUUUCCUGUGUUCUAGCAGCAGCAACCUCGGCCAUGCACAAGGGAAGAGGGGGAAGAGAGGGGAGGCAAAGGGGAGACAAGGAAGGGGAGGGCCCCUCUCCUCUGACAUCGUCAUAAAGGAAUCCCCUGCACUGGGCAGGGUCCGCCCACUCGCUUACUCUCACCCUGUCUGGCUCCCAGACACACUCGCCGUUCACACACACUCCUGUCUGCACAGCCGAAGGAGAGAGACUGACAAGAAAGACAAAGAGCAAGAGACACAGAAGAACAGCAAGAGAGAGAGAGAGAGAGAGGGUGAGAGAGGGGCCGGCAACUGUGAAGUUCAACUUUGUGACACUGGAGAGCAUGAGGAGAGUGAAAAUGAGACGGGAGGAAAGGAGUAAAAAAAAAAUGUUUUCUCUCAGAGAGGCACUUCACACUCACUUCACAGCAAAUCUUGCAACCUGUUGAUCAGGACAGACGUCCACAUGGAGUGACAGCAAUAUGUGCCUGCUAUUCAAAUGUACUGUAAUAUUGGUACUGGAAUAUUGCCCCGAUCUGAGUCUGCGGUCUGCCACUGUGGACCGGCUCCAUUACAAAGGUCAGAUGUAAAUAGUUUCUUUGAAUGGGAUGGCUUAAUUUCUGUCUGCCUGUCUGCGUGUCUGUCUGUCUGUCUGUUUGAUUUGGGGAUUAUAUCUCCACCCGUCUGAAUGAUUUACUGCAUAAUUGCCUCUACCUGUUUGUCUUUCUUCCUAUGCAACUGUCUGCGUACGCUGCCGUGUACGUCUGUCAUCCGUUUACCCGUGCGUGUGUGGUCUAUCUGUCUACAUGUCCAUCAUUCUGUGUGCUUCUUCGUGGGGUGUCGCUGGCAGCACAAUGCGGGAAUAGAGGUCAUAAAAAGUUCUAGAAAAGCAGCCGAGAUACGUAAUGGUAGUAGUGAAACGAGGCCGGAGUCGCUCAAACAUUCCUCUCAUUGUUCAGAGGCCCUGUAAGUCUGUGAGCUCCCAAACCUCCAUGAAAGGAAGGGAAUCCAGCAGCUACUGUAGCUGUAACCCAGUUUCAGCUACAGUUCAGGUCCGGCCGUCUCCGUCUUCCUGUCCGCUGUCCUGCUGUCUGAUUCCCCUCUGGGAGUGUUGGUGUUGGCCAAAUUGGGCAGCAGAAGGCAAAAAUGGAGCUGAAUGAGGUUAACAUGAGGGUGAAGCAAAGAAGAGAGACAUGAUAGAGUUAAUUUGGGCCAACGAAAGGGGAUGUUCUGCUUUGCUCUCUAUGCGACUGACUGUGGCAUUAGAUAACCUCUGAGGCAAAGGACAUGGGAGAGAGGCAAGAGAGGUGGGAGAUAUUGUUAUUCUGCCUUUAACAUUGAGGUAUCAUGACGUUGUAAAUCCUGCCAGGGAAGGCCAAAAGGGUGGAUGAAUGGAUGGAUGUAGGAAAGGUGGAAUAGAGGGAGCAGAAGGAUGAGAGAAGGUUGGAAUCCAGGGCUCAAGCCUUGGCUUUGGUGGGGCGGCUUAUGCCCGGCAGCAAUCCGUAGGAAUGGGCCCAGGCUCAGGAAACCGUGGCGUAGUGGAAUAAAAGUGGGUGUGUGUGUAUGUGUGUGUGUGUGUGUGUGUGUGCACAGUUUCUGCAUCCAUUUGUACAUGUGUGGUUCAGUGGCAGCAGUGCGGCUGUGGACUAAGUACAGGGCUGGUGGUGGUAAGGGUGUUUGGCAACGAAUCAGGCAGAGGAUAGGGUUACACGCAUUGGGCUACAGGGAGCAGACCACGAGCUUGGGCUGGGCUCUUCACUGCUGAGGCUAGCUUUACAGCCUGAAGAGACUUAGAGCUUUUCUCUUUUUUUUUUUUUUUUUUUUUUAAUCUGGAGCUGGAAAAACUUUUUUUUAUUCUCAGACUAAUGUCCCACAUGUGGCGCGUUCCACUGAUUCCAGGUCAGCCAAUGAACGUUCCUCUUUGAUUCAGGAAAAGUGCAGGGAAGGACAGAGAAGGCCCAUAGACCAUAGUAGAUCACGAGUCCUUGUUUGAAUGUCAUUGAAUGUCACAGCCCCAGCAAUAAUUACACCCUCACACGCAAUAUGAAACAAAUACAAUCUUACUCACAUGCACACACAUACCCAGACACACACUCUGUCUGGAAGCCAGGGAGCUAUAGGGUGUGGUGCUGUGAAAGGUGUGUGGGUUCAAAGAUCUAGGUUUUAGUGGGUGGGAUGCGUACUGCAUUUUCACACAUUUUCACAUAUUUUUCAACUGUUUUGCUGUAUUUGGGGUAAAGAAACUAAGAUGGUUGAAUUAGCAUCCAUCCAAAAGAUUUUAGAAGGCCAAGUCAAGAUGUCUGCUCUUCCACUUCUGAGUUCAUACUGUUAUUGGUCAGACUGAAGACUCAAAAACAUUGUCUUGAAAAUGUAAGUAAAGCAAAAAAGUUGCAGUGAAAAUGCAACCACAGUUUCUGCUGCGUCAGGCACCCUUCCUCCUCACGCUCGCUCAGGUCUUCACCUUUUUGGUCUUAGCAAAAGGCUCAGGUGAGGUAGUCACAGUUACUUUUUUGUUCCUCUGCGAGACGUAUUCUGCACUUAUCAGGGCAAGUGUUUUUAAGAGGCGUAAUAGAUACGACGGCAAUUAUGAAAAGCAAACGUGGCAUAUUUACACUUAAAGGAGGGAAUUCAGACGUUAUUGUAACCCUUGUGCAAUGUUGACAUAAUGUCUUGAACCAUUAGACUUAGACAUAUUGAUUUCACAUGAAGCUGUGGUUGGAAACAAGCUGCCCUCUGUGAAAUUCUCUGAUGCAAUGGAAAGAUAUAAAAAUGACAUAUGUUUCAGUUUGAUAAGUAAUUACUAAUAAAGUGCACAAUAGCACCGGACAGCCAGCCUGUGGGGUUACCCUGCUCACUGUUUGCUCUGUGAAGCAGUUCGCAGCCUGGAGGUGCGAAUGAUGUCAGAUUGGUAUGUAUUUGUACUAUUCCUGGUUUAUGAGACAGAGUGAGAGAGUGAGAACCCAGCUAACGCACAUGCCGUGUUUGCCCGGCAGUCCACUGACAUAACUGUGUUUGUUUAUUGAUAGUGAGCAUAUUGUGUGCAAAGAGCCAGAUUGUGUCUGGCCUGUGCAUGUGUGUGCAUGUGUGUGCGUGCAUACAAGGGCAUAGGGAGAGAGAAGAUAUGUGUUGAAACAACAAGGGGUUGAGAUCCAGCUGUCUCAACAGAGGCUCUUCCACUUAACUGUUUGCCCUUGUGUAAACGGCAAUGUCAAUUCUGAACUCACGCUGAAGAGGAGAGACGGUCUGUGAAAACAGCCAGUGGCCACGUCUACACUUGGACCUCCGUACGUCGUGUGCACGAAUAUCAACAUAGCAGAACACACACAUAGCGUACAAUGUACACCCUAAAAUCUGUACACCCUAAAAGGAGCUAAGCACACACACACACACGCUGGUCUAAAACACCCACACACAAGGCCGAAAGCCAUGUACUUUACUAGGGUACAUCUGCUGGCGAUCGUCACUCAGUGAUACUAAUUUUCCUAUUCCACGCCUCCGUCAGGAUGCAACACGUUGGCACAAUUAUGAGCUGCCAAUGAGUUGCAGCCCACAUUGCAGAACCUUAUGAUUAUUUCUAACCAUAAUAAACAUCCAAUUUGAGAAAAGUGUAACAACAGCAUUGCUUGGCUCCAAUGUAGGACUCCAAAAAACAAGACAGGCCAAACGCAAAAGUGAGACAUGUUGAGAUCCUCACAGCGAGUGUUUGAGGUGAGGUGUUGGACAGCAUGCGUCAACCAGAAUGCCGUCAUUACAGGGGAAGGGAAGGAAUGAGCUCAUAGACAUUAACGGCUGCGGGUUCGACCGGGGGAACGCAAGGGGGAAGAGAGAAACCGAUGGAAAAGAUGAAAAGGCAGAGAAAAUAACACACGAGAUGAGCCACUGCCAGAUGAAAGGAUGGCGGGAUAGAGGGUUUUAGGUCGAUGGAGAGGAGUUAAAGAGGAGUUAGCGUGCUGUCUUUGAUGGGUGCUGGGACCUUAAACGACCUUCUUUCUUAAGACGGCACCUCUGAUUGUGACCAUGUGGAAACAGACACUUUCAUGUGCAUAUUUUAGUUUUCCAUGAACUGGGUGACUAAACAGUGGAGUGCUUUGUAAGACUGAGCUGCGCCACAAUGUGAUAAUAAUAUCUCAGAUAACCUGGCCCUAAAAUUAUGCCGAUCCAGCCUGGGCCUCAAAAAUGCUUCUUGUACUGUAAUCUGUGAGAGAGAGUAAAAGAGAGACAUUUUAUAUAAAGAGAGAGCACACAGAGAAAGAAGCAACUUUUUUUUUUCUUUUUUUUUUUAAUUUCUUCUCAGUGGCACCAAAAUUUGUGUGUUCUGAGCGAUUUCUAAAUUAGUGUUAUUGGCUGAUUGGACCACAGACUGAGAGAAAGAACAUUGGCCUGGAGGAAAUUAGAAAACGGUCUGCUGAGUUUUAUGUUUGCUGCUUAGCGCAAGUUGCUUAGUUGAGUGGUAUUAAAAAAAAAAUACUGAAUUCUGUUAAAGACACGGUAUCAAAUGAGAAGUAGGUCUUUUUUACUAUUUUGGGAAGCUCUUUCCAAGCAUUCAGACCUGGCUGCAGCAGAUUUGUGACAACAAUGAUACAGCAUUAGUGACGGUGCCCAAGCUCACUGUGAUCCUGGCAAAGCUCUGCAGCAGGCACACAGCGACAACAGACGGCUCAAACUUAUUUAGAGUCUGGAGUUCCCCAAAAGCGUCCCACUGACUCAUACCUUGUGCCUGGUGGAAUAUUCAUGCUGCUGAAAAUAAGGGGAUGGCAAAACAGCAUUCAGUGUGGAUCUGGAGCUCGGAAUGACAUUCAAUUAUUUAAAUAUGUCCUGUCCAGACAUGUAAAAUUCAACAAAAAGGAAUUCACAAUAAUAUGUUCUGCUCUAGGCGUGAUGAGUGUAUGUGCUUGUCCUUGUUUUUUUGGGGUUUUUUGCUAGUGAAGGAUGUUAUCAUGUAUCAUUUGACAGACAGUAAUUAGACAAUAACCUAUAAAAAACAUAGUAUCAGUUCCUUUACACAACAUGAAAAUUCCUGAUCAUUUCUUGAGACAUUUAGCAGUAGCUUAGCGGCAGAGGAAACACGGCCCAGUGAUCUCCAGCCUUUUUCCCUCACACAAGGGGCACAGAUAAAGGGGCAGAAGCAGAAUAGAGCGGAGCAAACGUCUUUUAAAGGGAGUGCCACUUGACUGGCCACUUCCUUCUAGCCUAAUUCUCCAUUCUGUCAUUGAAAAGCUAUUUUUAUAAGAGGCCACGGGAAGUCUGGGAGUUGACGAGGAACAUGCACAUACAGUACACCCAGGACUGAGAGAGAGAGCGCAGCGGCUAUGACCUGUGGAUGACAAAGAUGUAGCGAAUCAGACCACUUUAGAUGCGCAAUACAGCUAAUUAGGCAGCAACGUUAACUAUUACAGGUAACAAUGAUGCCGGAGGUCAAUUUAUUUAUUAGUAUUCUUGCAUGCUUUGACAUCUUCUCACCACAAACUGUCUAGUGGUCUCUGUUGGCCAGGGGAAUUCCUGGCAGAGUGAUUUUUGAGACUACAGGACUGAAUCACAUUGCCAGGGAUUUCCAAUGGCUGACACGAAUAAGAGCGACUCUUUCUCGUUCACACACUAAUUCGCUAACUCGCGCACAGUCUCACCCAUGUUUCUAAUUUGCAUACUCGCACACAACACACACACACGCCCAUCUCGCUCUGUGUCAUGAACAGAUGCUCACAGCCUGGCUGUGCGGCAG